RNAcentral lists this ribosomal RNA (431 nucleotides) under uncultured bacterium. Its description in RNAcentral is "partial 16S ribosomal RNA". It matches the Rfam family "Bacterial small subunit ribosomal RNA", at positions 338 to 795 of the family's 1533-position model. The record is from RNAcentral.
CCUACGGGAGGCAGCAGUAAGGAAUAUUGGUCAAUGGACGCAAGUCUGAACCAGCCAUGCCGCGUGAAGGAUGAAGGCCCUUGGGUUGUAAACUUCUUUUAUCUGGGAAGCGGUACCAGAGGAAUAAGCACCGGCUAACUCCGUGCCAGCAGCCGCGGUAAUACGGAGGGUGCAAGCGUUAUCCGGAUUCACUGGGUUUAAAGGGUGCGUAGGUGGGAAUGUAAGUCAGUGGUGAAAUCUCCGUGCUUAACAUGGAAACUGCCAUUGAUACUAUGUUUCUUGAAUUUUCUGGAGGUCAGCGGAAUAUGUCAUGUAGCGGUGAAAUGCUUAGAUAUGACAUAGAACACCAAUUGCGAAGGCAGCUGACUACGGAUAUUGACACUGAGGCACGAAAGCGUGGGGAUCAAACAGGAUUAGAUACCCUUGUAGUC